RNAcentral lists this ribosomal RNA (732 nucleotides) under marine metagenome. RNAcentral describes it as "bacterial SSU rRNA". It matches the Rfam family "Archaeal small subunit ribosomal RNA", at positions 726 to 1461 of the family's 1478-position model. The record is from RNAcentral.
GGAUUAGAUACCCGGGUAGUCCUAGGUGUAAACGCUGUGGACUUGGUGUCGGGGACUCUCAGCGAGUUCUCGGUGCCGGAGUGAAGAUGUUAAGUCCACUGCCUGGGGAGUACGGUCGCAAGGCUGAAACUUAAAGGAAUUGGCGGGGGAGCACCGCAACGAGAGGAGCGUGCGGUUUAAUUGGAUUCAACGCCGGAAAACUCACCAGAGCCGACUGUUAAAUGAAGACCAGCGUGAUGAGCUUGUCGGAUUAUCAGAGAGGUAGUGCAUGGCCGUCGUCAGUUCGUACCGUAAGGCGUUCUGUUAAGUCAGAUAACGAACGAGACCCCCAUCGCUAUUUGCUACCCAUCUCUCCGGAGAUGGCGCACUAUAGCGAGACCGCUGGCGUUAAGUCAGAGGAAGGCGGGGGCAACGGUAGGUCAGUAUGCUCCGAAUGCUCUGGGCUACACGCGCGCUACAAAGGGCGGGACAAUGGGCAGCAACAUCGAGAGAUGACGCUAUCCCGAAACCCGUUCGUAGUUCGGAUCGAGGGCUGUAAUUCGCCCUCGUGAAGCUGGAUUUCGUAGUAAUCGCGCCUCAAAAUGGCGCGGUGAAUAUGCCCCUGCUCCUUGCACACACCGCCCGUCAAACCAUCUUAGUUUGGGGUGGGUGAGGCUGCCUUUACAUGGGGUAUUCGAGCCUGCCUUAGACAAGGAGGGUUAAGUCGUAACAAGGUAUCUGUAGGGGAACCUG